RNAcentral lists this ribosomal RNA (540 nucleotides) under uncultured bacterium. RNAcentral's name for it is "bacterial SSU rRNA". It matches the Rfam family "Bacterial small subunit ribosomal RNA", at positions 356 to 896 of the family's 1533-position model. The record is from RNAcentral.
AGGGAAUAUUGGGCAAUGGAGGCAACUCUGACCCAGCCAUGCCGCGUGAAGGAUGACGGCGCUCAGCGUUGUAAACUUCUUUUAUCAGGGAAGAAAAGUAUUCCUGCGGGAGUAUGUGACGGUACUUGAGGAAUAAGCACCGGCUAACUCCGUGCCAGCAGCCGCGGUAAUACGGAGGGUGCAAGCGUUGUCCGGAUUUAUUGGGUUUAAAGGGUGCGCAGGUGGUUCUGUAAGUCUGAUUUGAAAGCUGGCGGCUUAACCGUCAGAUGUGGUUGGAAACUGUGGAACUUGAAUGGCGUAGCGGGAGCCGGAAUGGGUCAUGUAGCGGUGAAAUGCAUAGAUAUGACCCGGAACACCGAUUGCGAAGGCAGGCUCCUGGGCGCUGAUUGACACUGAGGCACGAAAGCAUGGGUAGCGAACAGGAUUAGAUACCCUGGUAGUCCAUGCCGUAAACGAUGAUUACUGGCUGUGUGUGUUUUGACAUGCGUGGCUGAGCGAAAGCGUUAAGUAAUCCACCUGGGGAGUACGCUGGCAACAGUG